UGGGGAAUAUUGCACAAUGGGCGCAAGCCUGAUGCAGCCAUGCCGCGUGUAUGAAGAAGGCCUUCGGGUUGUAAAGUACUUUCAGCGGGGAGGAAGGGAGUAAAGUUAAUACCUUUGCUCAUUGACGUUACCCGCAGAAGAAGCACCGGCUAACUCCGUGCCAGCAGCCGCGGUAAUACGGAGGGUGCAAGCGUUAAUCGGAAUUACUGGGCGUAAAGCGCACGCAGGCGGUUUGUUAAGUCAGAUGUGAAAUCCCCGGGCUCAACCUGGGAACUGCAUCUGAUACUGGCAAGCUUGAGUCUCGUAGAGGGGGGUAGAAUUCCAGGUGUAGCGGUGAAAUGCGUAGAGAUCUGGAGGAAUACCGGUGGCGAAGGCGGCCCCCUGGACGAAGACUGACGCUCAGGUGCGAAAGCGUGGUGAGCAAACAGG
Molecule: ribosomal RNA, 429 nt
Filed under: Chloroflexota bacterium
Lineage: Bacteria; Bacillati; Chloroflexota
Description: Chloroflexi bacterium partial 16S ribosomal RNA
Rfam family: Bacterial small subunit ribosomal RNA
Source: RNAcentral